Molecule: non-coding RNA, 86 nt
Organism: Gossypium raimondii (Peruvian cotton)
Lineage: Eukaryota; Viridiplantae; Streptophyta; Magnoliopsida; Malvales; Malvaceae
Source: Rfam
GGAAGAAACAUCAUUGAGUGCAGCGUUGAUGAAAUUUCUCAAUUUCUGAGAUGAAUUCGUCAGCGCUGCUCUCAAUCAUGUUUUUU